This 5307-nucleotide long non-coding RNA is filed under the name Gallus gallus (chicken). Its description in RNAcentral is "long non-coding RNA NONGGAT004721". Lineage: Eukaryota; Metazoa; Chordata; Aves; Galliformes; Phasianidae. The record is from RNAcentral.
CCUGGAGCCAGAUAUUCGGCUUAAAUGUAUUGGGUUAUCUCAUCAUACUCCCAAAGCACAAGUCCUUCCCAAAACAGAGUAUCUGGUGAUGAUGAGAGGACACCUCAGGACUCAAAAGUAAGUGCCAGGACUUUAUUUUAGGGUGCAUCGAUAGAACAGCCCUAAACCAUGAGUCCCUUUCAAAGCAGGGGUGUGUUCUCUCUGUCUAACCUGUAAAGGCAAGCUGCACGUGGGCAGCCUGGCAGGUACUUGCUUGCUGUCAGCUGAGCUCCAGUUAGUGCUUAUUGUAGACAGAUACCCAGACAUGUGCUGUUAUGGACCUGUUUUAGGAGGUACAGCUCGGGUCACAGCACACCCCCUCACAUACACACUUGAUUUUUAUGAAGCCAAAGGUGUAUCUAAUGUGUACUUGGCCCCAAGAAGGCUGUUUCUCAGUGCUUGCUCUUGUUAGAACACCACUACCCUACAAACUAGCCAAAGGCAGGCCCUGGGCUUGGUGGUCAUGCACUGGGAUCAUUGAGCUGGUUGCAAAAGAUCCUCCCAGGUGUCCCCCACCACACUUGGCUCCCGGGGGCUUUGCUUUGCUGUAGUUUCAGGCUGCGCCCACCCAGGCGGGGUGUCCUGAGCCAUCCCCAGUGCCUGCAGCCCCUCACCUGCCCCUUCCACGCCGAGCUCGCUGAUGUCCUUGGUCAGCUUGCGCAUGCUGAUGGUGUUUGCAUCCCUCUGGAUGUCAUGGACAGCAUUCCUCCGGCCAGCCCUGUCGCAGGAAAUGAAGUCUGUGUAUGUGCUGGACUCUACCUCCAUCGCAUCUCUAUACUCCUUCAAAAUCCUGCAGAGAAAACAGCUCUGAGCUCAAGGGUGCUCGGCCAGCCUUGAGCCAUGGCUCUGUCUGGGUUAGGUUACUGCACGGAGUUAAAUUACAACAUGAAAAAAUAGUCCCUGUAGCUCCGCUCCCCGUCAGAGCAGCUUCUGAACUCUCAGGUAACGAGCUGCUGCUGGCUCUGCUGUCAUCGGCUUUGUCACCAUGUGCCUGCUGCUCUGGGGAGGGAGGGCUGCCUCGGAUUCAAAGCUCUGCAUUUUAGCUCGAUGUCAGCCUGGCCUAAGCCCUCCUUCCUCUUCAAAUUGCCCUGGGAGCUUUGAAUGGAGGCUGAAUUUGGCUCUGCAGUGGGAAGGAGUGAACUGACCUGAAUUUGUAAUCAGGAAUAGGGCUCUAGCAGGCACUCACCCAAACGGUCCAGGAGCUCAUGAGCUUUGCAGACACUGAGGUUUGCAUCAGUGCUGCUGUGUUUGUCACAUCCAUGUGUCAAGUGAGACAGCUUUGAGAGAAGCAGCACUUUACCCUGUGAAAAUCAACCUUACUGCAAGGGUUUUGGAUCCCUUUGCUCCUGCCUGUGCAAACUGCAGAGUGCAAAGAAAGGCUCACAAUGAGCACGAGCCGCCAGCCAGCUCCUGGUACAGCCCGGCGGGUGUUCAGGGCUUCAUUUAGCUGAGGGUUUGGCUCGGCAGCUUUGGGAACACACUGCAAGCAUCCCAGUGCCUGGGUACCAGCGGGUCACAUGCUGCUUCCCUGCUGGGAAUCCGGUGCUCCUGCUUCCUUCUGCUCCCAGCCUGGCACCCGGCUUGCUUCUUUGUGUGGACGUUGGAAAUCAGUGGCCGACUUGUUUUGCCCACUGCCCUGCUGGCGUCGUCAAUACUUGGAGGAGGAGCUGAUCAGAAACACUGCUGGCUAAUGAAAAAAGCGUAACACCUUGCAUCCGCUUGCUUUUGUGUCACGGGGCUGAUAUCCCACUGAGACAUCUGUUCAGCUCCUGCACAAACCCUGCUCAAUAUUGAUCUCCCUACCGGGGAAGCCGACUGAACGCACGCUGCGCCCGCAGGGAAACGCACGUGAGGUGAAGGCAGACCCCGGCGGCGGCCGGGCAGGACCCAUGCAGGGGGUGCUGUGGCUGCGAGGCUGCGCUCAGCUCCUCGGCAAACCCCCAGCCCCGGAAGCCUCCCAGCCUCGAGAUUGAGGCCCGUCGGACGCACGGACCGAGCGCUGCCGCAGAAACCGCCGGGAGGUGGCGCCGGAGCUCCGCGGCAGUGCCCGGUGCUGUCGGGGCGGCCCCGCCGGCUCCCGGUGCGCGGCUCUCCGGGCGCUGCCUCUCGGUUUCCUCCGCUCUGCUGCUGCCCGGAGGGGUGAUGGAACCGCCGCCACCAUUUGCAGGGGGCAGCCUGAUUUUUCAAGGAGCGUUUUCACUGUUCCAGGAAGAUGCAAAGCAUAUCGGUAGGGUUUAGCUGGGGGAACUGUUAGCAUCUGCCACUGACAAGAGGGGAUCCCUACCUGUGCAGUUCCAUUUGGAGCAGUGUCACAGUGGAUGGUCAUUGAGUGGCAGCUCCCCCCACCAGAGCCCACAGUUUCAAGCUCACAUACCUUGCUGAGAUAAGCUCUUUCUGCCAAACCUGCUGUUUGGCCUCAGCUUAUUUUUCCAUAUCUUGAGAGGACAGGAAUGAAACAGGACAUAUGGGGCUGCAGCAGUGUGAGUUCCGCAGGCACAGAUGCAGCACGAGGAUAAGGUUCUGCUGCCAGCCCUGGGCUGCACUCAGAGUCCACCCCCAGGAUACCUUCUGGUGAAAGGAGGACGCUUUUGGGGUGAACUCAAUGCCUCUUUCAAGUGGACAAUGGUCUGGAAUUACCACUGGAGGGUUAAACUCAACACAGGAUGGUGCACCCAUGGAGGAAAUGUGGCCCACGUCUGAGUCAGAGGGCUCAGUUGGACUCUGCAUGCACACCCAGCCCUGGACUUCAGUUUCAAGGAAGCCUUUCACAUGAUGUUGUAUCUGCCCCUUGCCUAGGUUCAAUUAGAAGCAUUUCCCUCUUACCUCACAUUCUCCUCAGAAUUUUGCUCUGUCUCUAACCUGGUUUUGCACAAACUGCAGAAGACUUUUGUGUCAGAGGAAAUCCUGUUCAGCUCUCUGUGGCACAGGUGGCACGACACGGUAAAGGGUGCCUUCAAGUCCUGCUUGGACAUCCUCACCCCCUACGGCAGCCAGCACCGCACAGCAGAGGCUGUAAGGGAGGAGGUGGGAAGGUUCAACACAGCAGUGGCUUCUUGGCAUCGCUUGGCCCCAAGAACCACCUGAGCCCACCUUGUUUCCCUUUACAGAGUGAGAAAUGGGGCCAUAUCUUUCUUUCUAAACACCCAGGUGCUGGGCAGCACUGAGCAGCCUGUGCCUACCACUGAUUCUGGGACCACACAAAGAUGUCCCCAUUCCUGUGGCACCCAAGGAUCAUCCCAAUGACCAUAGCCAGCAAGGGCUGGCACUGGGAUGUUAAGCCCAAGUCCUGAGGGACUGGAGCCCUGCACUUACAUCCCUGUUGCUGCUGCUGCUGCUGCUGCUGCCCGUUACAAGUGGCCGUUGGGGCCAACAGCUCUGUGCCCAUGGCGGGGUUCUGGCUGGAACAGGCUCCCUGACCCACAAGGCCAACUCCCGCUCUCUUGGUGUCCAAACCAAGGAUCAAACUGCUGCCUUUUGCCCCUGGGAAGCACAAAGCCUCCAAAGCCGAUCUAAACCUGGCUGUGUUUCUGGGUUGAAAUUUCCACCUUGUGUCAAAGGGACAAAUAUUAGCAGACCAAAAAGCAAGAGAUUAACCAUUUAAGAAUGCGAGCAGGAGCUCAUUCAGCAGUUCUGCCUACUCUGAGCUGUGGAUCUCUGUGACUGCGACAAUUCAUCACUUUCCAAACCAGGCUGAGCCCUGCAGUGAUGUCUGUGCCUCUCUGUCACUGCCAUUGGGAGGAGCUGGGGACAAAGUGCACGCAGCAGCUGACCCUCCCCAUCGCGCCGGCUGGCACUGGAAUGGGUACUGUGCUGGAAGACUUGUUGUCUGGGUUGGUCUAUAUGUAUGGCUUUGGUGACUUGAAUACCUUUAGCAGUGCGGAGCAACAACCACGUUCAGGCUUUGAAUGUGACAAUGGAGAUCACAUGAGAGUGGCAGAGAAAGGCAAAUAAAAAGCUGUGGCGUAGCUUCUGCUGUUUCUUGUUGCCUUGCAGACUGAUCCCCUGGUUCUGCUAUAGGCCUGCAUGAGCCCAGGAGAGCCAUUUGAUUUGUGCCUGGCCCCUGUAAGAUAACACUUAGCGUUUGGUUGGAGGGAUUGGUGCUGUGAUAACUGUUCCUGAAAGACGGGAGUCCCAGAAAAUGGUAACAGCCUGGAAAAUGAUUUUCACAGCUGUCUUUUGGAGGGCAGGGUUGUGUGUGUGUGUGCAUGCCUGCCUUCAAGGAGGCUCAAAAGUAGAUUUGCUUUUCUUUGGUAGAAGAGAGUAAGGCAAAGGGGAAGCAAAACAAUGCUUGCUACCUCAUUUUAGCCUUUACACCUCGUCAGAAUCAGCCACUGUGUAUACAGAAAUAACGAGCUGUUGGAAGAUGCAGGUCUAUGACUGUCUUUGGGUUUUAGUGUUUCUGCUAUGCUGCUGCCAGCCUAUGUGCUUUACUGUAAUGAGCUCCCAUUCUUUGAGGGAUCGGAGUUUUCACCCUCUGGAGUGAGAACCCAUGCACUGGAGGACUUGGAGCCCCGGGCCUCGUCCUGUGCUCAAAGUACAUGCAGCUUUACUGGCAGAGCCACGUUUGUAAGUGGCCGUUUAGUCUGCAUCUGUGCUAUGAAUGAAUUCAGGCGCUGGGGAUCCCCGGUGCACCCUCCUUCCCCAAACACUGUUCCUCAUUACAGCAGACAUACAACUUCUCAGACAGCUGGAAGGGCCCACCUUGCUCACAGGGGCCCACCCAGGAGCCUGAACAACCAAAGCACGCUCAGAGCCACCCGAAGGGCCUUGCUGACCAUGGGCAAGCACAGCCCGGAGCCUGAGGCCACGCACUCCCUUGGAGCUGUCACUGCUGCUUCUGUGUCUCUGCCAGAGCCCCACCUGGCACUGACACAUCCCCUCCUUGCUUGUCCCCCCCCUCCCAGCCACCACGGGCAUUCCCCCAAGGCACGCAGCCGUGCGUGGCUCUGUGGCUCUCGUUCUGUGUGUGCGUUUGCCCCCUCUGACACAACGGGAACAUUUCCCAGCCGUCCCUCCAGGAGCGCGGCGUUGCGCUGCCUCCCUCCCCGCUGCCUGCGGGAAACCGGAGAGAGGAGAACGACGCGCAGCUCCGAGCCGGAGGAAUUUUCAAAGCCUCCUGAGAAUACCACCGCACGGCAGUUCAUUUUUUAUCCCACGUCUCUGCCUCUUAAAACACUUGCUAGGGAAGCUGGAUGCCAUCGAGUCCCCAAGUCUGCGUACGCCACGUUUGUGAGGCUCUCGGCCGUGCCAGGGCUCGGGGCAGCCCCG